Long non-coding RNA from Coccinella septempunctata (seven-spotted ladybird), 769 nucleotides. RefSeq lists it as uncharacterized. The record is from RefSeq and is a predicted model, not a curated record. Lineage: Eukaryota; Metazoa; Arthropoda; Insecta; Coleoptera; Coccinellidae. The transcript is spliced from 3 exons.
AUUUUAUCUAUAUCUCAUUUCGCAAUUACUAUCUACAUCCUGGAAUUGAGGGUGUUAAUAUUCGUUCUUCAGUUAAUACUUGAGAGUAUAUCUAUAGUGUAUCUGCUCCAUUUGUAUUCACCGAUUUGGAUGUUCCGAACUGUACAAAUACUGUAUCAGGAAUUCAAGAAUUUUAUUAGCUUUCCUCCUACAAGGGGGACUGAGGGAGCUCUCAUAAAGACUUUCCUCUCAAUAUUUGAAAUUGAAGAACAUUUUGAAAGGAGAUUUGUGUGCUGUUCUUUUCCAUUUCUCAAGGCAGGAUCCACCGCCUAUCAAAAGGCGCUUGGAAUUAAAAAUCGAUCAGGAGAAAGGUCAGAUCUGUCCAUUUUGAGCAAUUUGUAGAAUUACUUUGUAAAUAAUUAGGAAUAAGUAUUUUAGGAUUAGAUUCAACAAGGUACCUUGGGAUUUUUGGGAAUUUUGGUUCAAUAGAUAUUAAUGAAGUUUCAUAUUUUCUUCAUCAUUUAAUUUUCCUCACAUAUGAUAUAUUCCAAUUUUCUAUAAUACACUUUCCAGAUUUUGUGUAAUUUUCAACAUCAUUGCAUUUAAUUGUGAAAUAGAAAUCUGGUGGCGCCCAAUAAAUUAAUUUUAAUUUCAUUUAAAACUAAACACCCUCCUUAUCCGCGACCUAGCCCUCUAAAGACUACAACAGCUGCCAAUUGCAUUAUUUUGCCCAGUUCAGUUAUAUAAAUUUCUUAAUAACAAAAAUAAAUAAAAAGGCGGUGGCAAUCUA